This 253-nucleotide ribosomal RNA is filed under the name uncultured bacterium. RNAcentral describes it as "partial 16S ribosomal RNA". It matches the Rfam family "Bacterial small subunit ribosomal RNA", at positions 524 to 776 of the family's 1533-position model. The record is from RNAcentral.
UACGUAGGGCGCGAGCGUUGUCCGGAAUUAUUGGGCGUAAAGAGCUCGUAGGUGGCUUGUUGCGUCUGCCGUGAAAGCCCGUGGCUUAACUACGGGUCUGCGGUGGAUACGGGCAGGCUAGAGGCUGGUAGGGGCAAGCGGAAUUCCUGGUGUAGCGGUGAAAUGCGCAGAUAUUGGGAGGAACACCAGUGGCGAAGGCGGCUACCUGGACCGGUUCUGACGCUGAGGCGCGAAAGCGUGGGUAGCAAACAGG